Molecule: long non-coding RNA, 292 nt
Organism: Numida meleagris (helmeted guineafowl)
Lineage: Eukaryota; Metazoa; Chordata; Aves; Galliformes; Numididae
Exons: 4
Source: RefSeq, a predicted model, not a curated record
CCUGUGAUGUCACUAGCCCAUGACACAUCACAAUCCACAUACACAUGAACUAAGCUGGCAACGAAAAGUUCAUUACAUAAGUGAAACAUAACUCAAAUGAAGAAAAAUACAAUGUGAUCAUCCCCAAAAGCAAAAAAAGUGAGAAGACUGAGGCUCAAAAAGAUCAGAUGACUUGCCCAAACCCAUACAGUAAAGACGGGAUUUGUGACUUUCACCAUUACAGAAGUCAAGAAAUGAAGACACAGAGGUAUAUGCUGACUUGGCCAAAGCAAGCUACCCAAGGGAGUUCAUG